GGGCUAGGCAGGUUUCUGCAGCUCCCACUUCCCAGUGGAAAAGUGCAGGAUUCCCAAAGACUGUUGAGCAAGAGGCUCAAAUUGUCUUCAGAUUGGGUCUAAUCUAGCUAGAACCAUUCGGGAUCCAGGAUGAAGCUGGAUCCAGUUACAGACCUCCCUGAGAAGUGAAGAGAGGUCCAGAUACACCUACAUCUCCAGCUGACACGGUCUCGAGGGUUCCAGGGCCCUCCCUCAAGGCGCGGACUUCAUGAGAAAUGGACCCACAACUCAGGAGCCGAAACAGACACACCCAGCCCGGUGACGUCCCCAACCAGCCAGUGACCCGCGGCAGCCCACUCUCACUGAGAGGAAGAAGAAACUUCCCCCUGGCUUCCCAAAGACCACCACCACUGCUCACACUUUGGAAAUUCUUCUGUCAAUUCAUUUUCAGUUUUUAUUUGGUUUUCACAUUGUUGUAAUCAUACCGUGUUUACAAUUUUGUAUCCCACUGCAUUUAUCAUCCUAGUGUGUAUAUGUUUCUGCAUGUUAAAUUUAUCCUGGUUAUUGCGAAGGUUCAUAUUUUUAUAUAUAUUUACACGCAAAGGUCACUUCACUGGUUUUCCCUU
Molecule: long non-coding RNA, 605 nt
Organism: Mirounga angustirostris (Northern elephant seal)
Lineage: Eukaryota; Metazoa; Chordata; Mammalia; Carnivora; Phocidae
Exons: 3
Source: RefSeq, a predicted model, not a curated record